AGGUUGGGAUCAGAUGCAAUGCUGUGUGUGUAUUUCUGGUAUUGCACUUGUCCCGGCCUGU
RNAcentral lists this microRNA precursor (61 nucleotides) under Sphenodon punctatus (tuatara). RNAcentral's name for it is "Spt-Mir-92-P1a_pre stem-loop". It matches the Rfam family "mir-92 microRNA precursor family", at positions 11 to 71 of the family's 80-position model. From Rfam's summary of the family: This family represents the microRNA precursor mir-92. Lineage: Eukaryota; Metazoa; Chordata; Lepidosauria; Sphenodontia; Sphenodontidae. The record is from RNAcentral.